UCCUUGGGUGGCGAGUGGCGGACGGGUGAGGAAUACGUCGGAAUCUGCCUAUUUGUGGGGGAUAACGUAGGGAAACUUACGCUAAUACCGCAUACGACCUACGGGUGAAAGCGGAGGACCUUCGGGCUUCGCGCAGAUAGAUGAGCCGACGUCGGAUUAGCUAGUUGGCGGGGUAAAGGCCCACCAAGGCGACGAUCCGUAGCUGGUCUGAGAGGAUGAUCAGCCACACUGGAACUGAGACACGGUCCAGACUCCUACGGGAGGCAGCAGUGGGGAAUAUUGGACAAUGGGCGCAAGCCUGAUCCAGCCAUGCCGCGUGUGUGAAGAAGGCCUUCGGGUUGUAAAGCACUUUUGUCCGGAAAGAAAAGCUUCGGGUUAAUACCCCGAGGUCAUGACGGUACCGGAAGAAUAAGCACCGGCUAACUUCGUGCCAGCAGCCGCGGUAAUACGAAGGGUGCAAGCGUUACUCGGAAUUACUGGGCGUAAAGCGUGCGUAGGUGGUUUGUUAAGUCUGAUGUGAAAGCCCUGGGCUCAACCUGGGAAUGGCAUUGGAAACUGGCUUACUAGAGUGCGGUAGAGGGUAGUGGAAUUCCCGGUGUAGCAGUGAAAUGCGUAGAUAUCGGGAGGAACAUCUGUGGCGAAGGCGACUACCUGGACCAGCACUGACACUGAGGCACGAAAGCGU
This 685-nucleotide ribosomal RNA is filed under the name Lysobacter sp. SA024. RNAcentral describes it as "bacterial SSU rRNA". It matches the Rfam family "Bacterial small subunit ribosomal RNA", at positions 81 to 762 of the family's 1533-position model. The record is from RNAcentral. Lineage: Bacteria; Pseudomonadati; Pseudomonadota; Gammaproteobacteria; Lysobacterales; Lysobacteraceae.